Long non-coding RNA from Salarias fasciatus (jewelled blenny), 718 nucleotides. RefSeq lists it as uncharacterized. The record is from RefSeq and is a predicted model, not a curated record. The transcript has 3 exons. Lineage: Eukaryota; Metazoa; Chordata; Actinopteri; Blenniiformes; Blenniidae.
CCGAAAUGGCAGCAACAAUUAACCAAACAGGGGUGAGCAUCCCCGAAAUGGCCAGUUCAGCACAAGAACAUUCUUCUGAGAUUGAAAGAGGUCCACACAUCAUCAACCAAACGAGUGGAUUUCAAGAAGGUCAAGACCACAUCAACCUGUGUAAACAAGCAACCGGAUUUCUCCUUCAAGCCAGAGAAACCCAGCGCCUAACACAAAGAGCUGUUAACCAGAUGGUGAAUGGAGUCCAGCAAUACCAGGCUUCACUGUUGGAGCACCUGAAACAUCAAAUGAGUAGUGUGUUCGAGAGACAUUCUGGGGACCUGAAUCAACUGAAGAGUGAAGUAAUGAGCAUAUUUGACCAGUUUGAUGACCCUUUCAACCAAAUUUCCACAACAUACUUGCAGAAUAAGACAAUCAAAGAACUCCUUAAACCAGUAGAAGCAGAGAUAGUCACCCUCAAAAAUGUGGCAUGCUAUGUUAAAAGUGGUGACCAAAGAGCACUUACUAUUAAACACAAAAUCUUUUAUUAUAUUCCAUUGCUAAAAAGUUUGGAGCAACUCCUGCUGCAUCCACAAAUUCUUCAAAUAAUUGAACAAGGGUCACAACCAUGCGAGGCUGGAUUUUUUGGCGAUUUCAUUGAUGGAGAAAUCUUUAAGUCACACCCACUGUUUUUGAAAUUUCCCACGGCAUUGCAAUUAGUUCUAUAUACAGAUGAAAUUGAAUUGUG